Long non-coding RNA from Brienomyrus brachyistius, 175 nucleotides. RefSeq lists it as uncharacterized. The record is from RefSeq and is a predicted model, not a curated record. The transcript is spliced from 3 exons. Lineage: Eukaryota; Metazoa; Chordata; Actinopteri; Osteoglossiformes; Mormyridae.
AGAGAGAGAGAGAGGGCAGGUGAGAGGAGGGGAUAGGGCACAGAGAGAGAGAGAGAGAGGGCAGGUGAGAGGAGGGGAUAGGGCACAGAGAGAGAGAGAGAGAGGGCAGGUGAGAGGAGGGGAUAGGGCACAGAGAGAGAGAGAGAGAGGGGGCAGGUGAGAGGAGGGGAUAGGG